This 322-nucleotide ribosomal RNA is filed under the name uncultured Pseudodifflugiidae. Its description in RNAcentral is "SSU rRNA". The stretch from base 105 to 322 matches the Rfam family "Eukaryotic small subunit ribosomal RNA", at positions 738 to 955 of the family's 1831-position model. Lineage: Eukaryota; Endomyxa; Gromiida; Pseudodifflugiidae. The record is from RNAcentral.
UCCGUGCCCCUUACGGGGUAUGUGUGUUGGUGUGGCGUCUGCCAUCUUUUGUGUAGAUGCUUUGUCCAUAUAGGGGCCUUUACUGGUUCUUGUUGGCUUAGGUUAUCAUCUACAUCUUUUACUUUGAAAAAAUUAGAGUGUUUAAAGCAGGCUUUUAGCCCUUGAAUACAUUAGCAUGGAAUAAUAAUAUAGGACUUCGGUUCUAUUUUGUUGGUUUCUAGUACUGAAGUAAUGAUUGAUAGGGAUAGUUGGGGGUGCUAGUAUUCAGCGGCCAGAGGUGAAAUUCUUGGAUUCGCUGAAGACUAACUUAUGCGAAAGCAUU